This 493-nucleotide ribosomal RNA is filed under the name uncultured bacterium. Its description in RNAcentral is "partial 16S ribosomal RNA". It matches the Rfam family "Bacterial small subunit ribosomal RNA", at positions 355 to 836 of the family's 1533-position model. The record is from RNAcentral.
UGGGGAAUUUUGGACAAUGGGCGAAAGCCUGAUCCAGCCAUGCCGCGUGCAGGAUGAAGGCCUUCGGGUUGUAAACUGCUUUUGUACGGAACGAAAAGACUCUGGUUAAAUACCUGGGGUCCAUGACGGUACCGUAAGAAUAAGCACCGGCUAACUACGUGCCAGCAGCCGCGGUAAUACGUAGGGUGCAAGCGUUAAUCGGAAUUACUGGGCGUAAAGCGUGCGCAGGCGGUUAUAUAAGACAGAUGUGAAAUCCCCGGGCUCAACCUGGGAACUGCAUUUGUGACUGUAUAGCUAGAGUACGGCAGAGGGGGAUGGAAUUCCGCGUGUAGCAGUGAAAUGCGUAGAUAUGCGGAGGAACACCGAUGGCGAAGGCAAUCCCCUGGGCCUGUAACUGACGCUCAUGCACGAAAGCGUGGGGAGCAAACAGGAUUAGAUACCCUGGUAGUCCACGCCCUAAACGAUGCCAAACUGGUUGUUGGGGUCUUCACUG